UUUUAUGAGAGUUUGAUCCUGGCUCAGGACGAACGCUGGCGGCGUGCCUAAUACAUGCAAGUCGAACGCUUCUUUUUCCACCGGAGCUUGCUCCAUCGGAAAAAGAGGAGUGGCGAACGGGUGAGUAACACGUGGGUAACCUGCCCAUCAGAAGGGGAUAACACUUGGAAACAGGUGCUAAUACCGUAUAACAAUCGAAACCGCAUGGUUUUGAUUUGAAAGGCGCUUUCGGGUGUCGCUGAUGGAUGGACCCGCGGUGCAUUAGCUAGUUGGU
Molecule: ribosomal RNA, 274 nt
Filed under: Enterococcus faecium
Lineage: Bacteria; Bacillati; Bacillota; Bacilli; Lactobacillales; Enterococcaceae
Description: partial 16S ribosomal RNA
Rfam family: Bacterial small subunit ribosomal RNA
Source: RNAcentral